AAAAAUUGAGGUAUUCCAUUACCCUCUUUUGUAUUUAAAACCUCACUCUAUAAAACCUAAAAUUUUUUUAAAAAUAAAAUUAA
Molecule: unclassified non-coding RNA, 83 nt
Filed under: soil metagenome
Description: partial internal transcribed spacer 1
Source: RNAcentral